UAGCUGAGGUGGAGAAGAAUUGCCUCUGG
Molecule: non-coding RNA, 29 nt
Filed under: Mus musculus (house mouse)
Lineage: Eukaryota; Metazoa; Chordata; Mammalia; Rodentia; Muridae
Source: RNAcentral